CUCAACCAAUACUGGAGAUGGGAGCCUCUCUUUCCAGGAUUGGACGGACCUCCGAUUCCCUAGCACGGUGGAUCUCAGACUAAAGCGUGUGUCUCUGGAGGGCUUGAGAAAACACUGAUAGACCCCAGAGUUUCUGUUUCAGGAAGUCUAGGGUGUGACCUGAAAAUCUGCAAUUCUCAUAAGCUCCUUGGUGAUGCUGAUCCUGCCUGCUGGUCUGGGAUCAGGCUUGAGAAUCACUGCCCAGCUUAAUCCUGGGCCUGGCAUCGAGUGGGGGCCAGGUGUGUAUGAACAGAAGAUACCAGAAAAUCAGCUUGUCAGCUCAUUUUGUGUGCCUCAGAAGGCCCAACAGAGAAUUCAGGAAAGAUGCCAGGUAUAAGCUGAAGAUUGGGUGGAUCACAAGAACUAAUCUUUCAUGAUUUGGAAACCGGAAGGAAAGAAGCACUUUUGUAGCUGACUUACCUCAAUGACAUGACCAGUGUCUGAGCCUACAACUGCGCUAUCUUCCCUGGAUUUUUCUUCACCUUUUCCUUACUCAUGAGCCAGUUAAGUGAAGUUGAACCUAACCCUAGCCGAAAGAGCACUGUUGUCUGAAUGCAACCGCAGGACACUGAGAAGCUGGAUAAGCACUCUCUUAGUGCUCUGUGUUGGAUUUGUGUAUGGCUUGGAUCACACUCCCUACCCUAACCUUGAUUCCAGAGAGUUGGGCCAGCUCAGGGUGGGGUGUAGGAGGAUACACUGUAUACACUCUGACAGUAUAUGUGUCUCCUCAACAUUCAGAGGCCACAUGGCAGGGCAGAUGUCCAUUAACUAUCUUGGGCUUAUCACAUCUCUUUAAUAAACAACAGUGGGGACAGAUAGUGCCCUACAGGCAUAUUACAGGGAAGACUUGAUGAAAUUUAGCAUUGUUUAUUGUCUGUCUUACAAACAAUGCACUUAGAUUUUUACCAUGAAACUAGCAGUAGAGUCCCUGAAGCUCAAGUUUAAAAAGCCUCAAGUCAAACGAUAUAUAUAUAUAUAUUUGUAAUUUUGUUAUGUGUUGGAGAGUUGACAUCAGCUGGCAUAUAUGACUGUCCAUACCAGCUGUUAUAUUAUUAAAAUAAUUUCGGCCGGGCACGGUGGUUCAUGCCUGUAAUCCCAGCACUUUGGGAGGCCAAGGCGGGCAGAUCACGAGGUCAGGAGAUCGAGACUAUCCUGGCUAACACGGUGAAACCCCGUCUCUACUAAAAAUACAAAAAAUUAGCUGGGCGUGGUGGCAGGUGCCUGUACUCCUAACUAAUCAGGAGGCUGAGGCAGGAGAAUGGUGUGAACCUGGGAGGCGGAGCUUGCAGUGAGCUGAGAUCGCACCACUGCAUUCCAGCCUGGGCAACAGAGCAAGACUCUGUCUAAAAAAAAAUAAUAAAAUAAUAAUAAUUUUAUACUGAUUGGGAAAUAGCUAUUGUUCAACCUCCCCAACACCAGGCUCCUCCCUUUGGGCCUUCUAGACCCCUACAUGAACCAGCAAGUAAGAGGUGAAUGCUUGACAGCAGGGAUCUUCCUGGAUUUAGUCACUACCCAUUUGCAAAGUUAGGCAUUUGAGCCUAUGGUGUUGUUGACAAAAAGAGUCAAACUCUAUAAAAUAUUUGAAGAGAUUUAAACUGAGCCAAAUAUAAGUGGCCAUGGCCCAUGACUCAGCUUUCAGGAGAUCCUGAGAACAUGUGCCCAAAGUGGUCAGGGGUGCAGCCUGGUUUUAUACAUCUUAGGGACAUGUGAGACAUCAAUGAAAUACAUUUAAGGUAUAUGUUGGAUUGCUGUAGACUUAGAGAAGGAAUUAUAGAUGCUUUUAUGCAUUUUGUUUAGCUCAGAGUUUCUUGAGAGUUAAGAGGGGAAGAAAAGAAAUAAAUGGAUUUUAGAAUGUAAGACUGACUUUGGAAGAGAAUCUAUAGUUGGAUAAUAAAACUAGGUGUUGAAAGGGAAGUAUUGAUCAGAGGAGGAUCCAGAAAGGCAGGGCAACUCGAAGUGGAGGUGGGGUGUGGAAUGGGGUGGGGCUUUUAAGUUAUAGGUAGAUUAAAAAUUUUUUGGGUUGGCAACUGGUUGAAAAAGUUAUUGUCAAUAGAAAGGAAUAUCUGGGUUAAGAUAAGAGGUUGUGGAGACUAAAGUUUUAUCAUGCAGAUGAAGCUUCCAGGUAGCAGGCUUCAGAGAGAAUAAAUUGUAACUGUUUAUCAGACUUAAGGUCCUGUUAAUGUUAAAUGCUGGUUGGCUUUUCCUGAAUUCAAAAGGGAGGAGGACAUAAUGAGGCAUGUCUGAUCCCCUCUCCAGCCCCUGAAUCAUGGCCUGAACCAGUCUUUCAGAUUAAAUUUAGAGGACCCUGGCCUAGAGGAGGAAGUCUAUUCACAUAGUUGUGGGGCAUUCACAUUUUAUUCCUGGAUUAUAGUGUCAUUAUCCCAGCAGUAAGUUACUGCCGUCCAAUAUUUAUCCGUAGUUUGAUUGAAACAGUAUACAGGGGAUAUCGCUCCAGGCAGUUUAUAGUUCACCCCUGGAUCAAAUCAGAUCCACAGAGAAACUGAGAAUGUGUAUUGCAUUUCAAUUAGCCUCUGCUACCCCUUGUCACCCUGAGAACUGGUCUUGCUGAAUUGUCAUGCAAUCAGCAUGACAAUGUGAUGUCAUCAGUCUGUGCUGUCAACAGCCUGGGCUGAGAGACAGGGAGGGAAACAGCACAAAUGACACUCAUUGUCAUCUGUCUUUUAGGAAUGUUGUCAAGGAUGUGUUUUUUUUAUAUCAUGGUUUCUAUUUAUGAGGAUACUCAGAGAACUGCCUAACUGCUUUUCGAUGUAAGAACAAUUGUAUUACUCCUGAGAAACUGUUCUCUUUUUAACUUUACAAAUCUCUUUGUAAGUGUCUAGUUUUCCCUUCUCCUUGUUUUUGUAGGUAGACUUACAUCU
This is a long non-coding RNA of Homo sapiens (human), 2918 nucleotides long. Ensembl annotates it as EIF1B antisense RNA 1. Its record names the gene EIF1B-AS1. NCBI's taxonomy places the organism in Eukaryota, Metazoa, Chordata, Mammalia, Primates, Hominidae. The record is from Ensembl.